CAACUCGCCUGCAUGAAGUCGGAAUUGCUAGUAAUCGCAGAUCAGCAUGCUGCGGUGAAUACGUUCCCGGGCCUUGUACACACCGCCCGUCACACCAUGGGAGUCGGUAACACCCAAAGUUGGUAGCCUAACCGCAAGGAGGGCGCCGCCUAAGGUGGGAUUGAUGACUGGGGUGAAGUCGUAACAAGGUAAC
Molecule: ribosomal RNA, 193 nt
Filed under: uncultured bacterium
Lineage: Bacteria
Description: partial 16S ribosomal RNA
Rfam family: Bacterial small subunit ribosomal RNA
Source: RNAcentral